This 222-nucleotide long non-coding RNA is filed under the name Elaeis guineensis (African oil palm). RNAcentral's name for it is "long non-coding RNA (EGUI_LNC019212)". The record is from RNAcentral. Lineage: Eukaryota; Viridiplantae; Streptophyta; Magnoliopsida; Arecales; Arecaceae.
UUUCCCCGAUUUAUAAAACUGGAAUACAACACUAAUAACCUACUAAAAAGAUGAGUUUUUUUUUUUUUUUCUUCGCUAUACCCUGUAGAUUAUAGUGCCACGGAAUAAUUCUAGGAUCACCAUAUAAAGUACAAAAGGUGAAUUUAUUUGUAAACCCUUGCUCCAAUCCAAUUACAUGUUUAACUUUAGAUCCAUCAAUACUAAUUUUUUUUAAGUGAGAGG